AACCUCUUUUAGCAGGGAAGAAGCGAAAGUGACGGUACCUGCAGAAAAAGCGCCGGCUAACUACGUGCCAGCAGCCGCGGUAAUACGUAGGGCGCAAGCGUUAUCCGGAAUUAUUGGGCGUAAAGAGCUCGUAGGCGGUUUGUCGCGUCUGCUGUGAAAACCCGAGGCUCAACCUCGGGCCUGCAGUGGGUACGGGCAGACUAGAGUGCGGUAGGGGAGAUUGGAAUUCCUGGUGUAGCGGUGGAAUGCGCAGAUAUCAGGAGGAACACCGAUGGCGAAGGCAGAUCUCUGGGCCGUAACUGACGCUGAGGAGCGAAAGGGUGGGGAGCAAACAGGCUUAGAUACCCUGGUAGUCCACCCCGUAAACGUUGGGAACUAGUUGUGGGGUCCAUUCCACGGAUUCCGUGACGCAGCUAACGCAUUAAGUUCCCCGCCUGGGGAGUACGGCCGCAAGGCUAAAACUCAAAGGAAUUGACGGGGACCCGCACAAGCGGCGGAGCAUGCGGAUUAAUUCGAUGCAACGCGAAGAACCUUACCAAGGCUUGACAUACACGAGAACGCUGCAGAAAUGUAGAACUCUUUGGACACUCGUGAACAGGUGGUGCAUGGUUGUCGUCAGCUCGUGUCGUGAGAUGUUGGGUUAAGUCCCGCAACGAGCGCAACCCUCGUUCUAUGUUGCCAGCACGUAAUGGUGGGAACUCAUGGGAUACUGCCGGGGUCAACUCGGAGGAAGGUGGGGAUGACGUCAAAUCAUCAUGCCCCUUAUGUCUUGGGCUUCACGCAUGCUACAAUGGCCGGUACAAAGGGCUGCAAUACCGCAAGGUGGAGCGAAUCCCAAAAAGCCGGUCCCAGUUCGGAUUGAGGUCUGCAACUCGACCUCAUGAAGUCGGAGUCGCUAGUAAUCGCAGAUCAGCAACGCUGCGGUGAAUACGUUCCCGGGUCUUGUACACACCGCCCGUCAAGUCAUGAAAGUCGGUAACACCUGAAGCCGGUGGCCCAACCCUUGUGGAGGGAGCCGUCGA
Molecule: ribosomal RNA, 1022 nt
Filed under: Microbacterium sp.
Lineage: Bacteria; Bacillati; Actinomycetota; Actinomycetes; Micrococcales; Microbacteriaceae
Description: bacterial SSU rRNA
Rfam family: Bacterial small subunit ribosomal RNA
Source: RNAcentral